This 501-nucleotide ribosomal RNA is filed under the name uncultured bacterium. RNAcentral describes it as "SSU rRNA". It matches the Rfam family "Bacterial small subunit ribosomal RNA", at positions 26 to 524 of the family's 1533-position model. The record is from RNAcentral.
AGGACGAACGCUGGCGGCGUGCUUAACACAUGCAAGUGGUGCGACGAACCAGGGCUUGCCCUGGGGCAAAGCCGCGAACGGGUGAGUAACACGUGAGUAACCUGCCCCGAUGACCGGGACAACCCGAGGAAACUCGGGCUAAUACCGGAUGUGGCGCACAGGCAUAAGCCUGUUCGCUAAAGGAAGCUUCGGCCUCCGCAUUGGGAGGGGCUCGCGGCCCAUUAGCUUGUUGGUGGGGUCAAGGCCUACCAAGGCGACGAUGGGUAGCUGGUCUGAGAGGACGAUCAGCCACACUGGGACUGAGACACGGUCCAGACUCCUACGGGAGGCAGCAGUGGGGAAUCUUGCACAAUGGGCGAAAGCCUGAUGCAGCGACGCCGCGUGGGGGAUGAAGCUUUUCGGAGUGUAAACCCCUUUCGAUCCGGACGAAUGCCUCGCAAGAGGAGUGACGGUACGGAUAUAAGAAGCCCCGGCUAACUACGUGCCAGCAGCCGCGGUAAU